This 492-nucleotide ribosomal RNA is filed under the name uncultured bacterium. RNAcentral's name for it is "partial 16S ribosomal RNA". It matches the Rfam family "Bacterial small subunit ribosomal RNA", at positions 29 to 507 of the family's 1533-position model. The record is from RNAcentral.
AGUGAACGCUGGCGGCAGGCCUAACACAUGCAAGUCGAACGGCAACACAAUGAGGGUUUCCUCUUUCGGGUGGCGAGGGGCGGACGGGUGAGGAGUACAGCGGAAUCCACUUUUUCGUGGGGGAAAUCGUGGAGAAAGUUACGAUAAUACCGCAAACGACCAACAGCUAAAAGCAGGACAUCUUGGUACCUUGCCCUCUGGAAUGACCCGAUGUGGGUUGAGCUAGUUGGCGGGGUAAGGGCACACCAAGGCGACGAUCCGUAGCUGGUCUGAGAGGAUGACCAGCCACACUGGAACUGAGACACGGUCCAGACUCCUACGGGAGGAAGCAGUGGGGAAUAUUGGACAAUGGGCGCAAGCCUGAUGCAGCCAUCCCGCGUGUGUGAAGAAGGCCUUCGGGUUGUAAAGUCCUUUUGUAGGGAAGGAAGAGCGUCAGGUUAAUACCCUGGUGCAUUGACGGUACCCACAGAAUAAGCACCGGCUAACUUCGUG